UCGGGAAUAUUGCGCAAUGGAGGAAACUCUGACGCAGUGACGCCGCGUAUAGGAAGAAGGUUUUCGGAUUGUAAACUAUUGUCGUUAGGGAAGAAAAAAUGACAGUACCUAAGGAGGAAGCUCCGGCUAACUACGUGCCAGCAGCCGCGGUAAUACGUAGGGAGCAAGCGUUAUCCGGAUUUAUUGGGUGUAAAGGGUGCGUAGACGGGCGAUCAAGUUAGUUGUGAAAUCCCUCGGCUCAACUGAGGAACUGCAACUAAACUGGUUGUCUUGAGUGCAGGAGAGGUAAGUGGAAUUCCUAGUGUAGCGGUGAAAUGCGUAGAUAUUAGGAGGAACACCAGUGGCGAAGGCGACUUACUGGACUGUAACUGACGUUGAGGCACGAAAGUGUGGGGAGCAAACAGGAUUAGAUACC
RNAcentral lists this ribosomal RNA (415 nucleotides) under uncultured bacterium. RNAcentral's name for it is "bacterial SSU rRNA". It matches the Rfam family "Bacterial small subunit ribosomal RNA", at positions 355 to 786 of the family's 1533-position model. The record is from RNAcentral.